UACGUAGGGUGCAAGCGUUAUCCGGAUUUAUUGGGCGUAAAGCGAACGCAGGCGGGAGAAUAAGUCAGCUGUGAAAGCCCCCAGCUUAACUGGGGAAGUGCAACUGAAACUAUUUUUCUUGAGUGCAGAAGAGGAGAGUGGAACUCCAUGUGUAGCGGUGGAAUGCGUAGAUAUAUGGAAGAACACCAGUGGCGAAGGCGGCUCUCUGGUCUGUAACUGACGCUGAGGUUCGAAAGCAUGGGUAGCGAACAGG
RNAcentral lists this ribosomal RNA (253 nucleotides) under uncultured bacterium. RNAcentral describes it as "partial 16S ribosomal RNA". It matches the Rfam family "Bacterial small subunit ribosomal RNA", at positions 524 to 776 of the family's 1533-position model. The record is from RNAcentral.